RNAcentral lists this ribosomal RNA (253 nucleotides) under uncultured bacterium. RNAcentral describes it as "partial 16S ribosomal RNA". It matches the Rfam family "Bacterial small subunit ribosomal RNA", at positions 524 to 776 of the family's 1533-position model. The record is from RNAcentral.
UACGAAGGGGGCUAGCGUUGUUCGGAUUUACUGGGCGUAAAGCGCACGUAGGCGGAUCGUUAAGUCGGGGGUGAAAUCCUGGAGCUCAACUCCAGAACUGCCUUCGAUACUGGCGAUCUCGAGUCCGGAAGAGGUGAGUGGAACUCCUAGUGUAGAGGUGGAAUUCGUAGAUAUUCGCAAGAACACCAGUGGCGAAGGCGGCUCACUGGCCCGGUACUGACGCUGAGGUGCGAAAGCGUGGGGAGCAAACAGG